Taeniopygia guttata (zebra finch) is the source of this 2576-nucleotide non-coding RNA. NCBI's taxonomy places the organism in Eukaryota, Metazoa, Chordata, Aves, Passeriformes, Estrildidae. The record is from RefSeq and is a predicted model, not a curated record.
UUCCAUUAUCCCAGGUAGCUCCAAACUGGCCUGGAAAAUUUAGGAAUUUCCCAGGAAAGGGAAUUUUAGAUUGGCACUUGAGAAAAUGCACCGGGAGCAGGGACUGGUUCCAAAAUAAAGGAGAACAUUCCCAACCAUGCAGCAGCUCCGGAGAGUUUUCCAGUGGGAAAUGCAGGAAAAUCAUCCCUGUGAUCCACUUUGGAGCAGCCUGGCAUAGUGAAAGUGCCCAUGGCAGAGGGUGGAAAAUGAUGAUUUUUAAAUCCUUUCCAUCCCAAACCAUUCCAGAAUUCAUUUUAGGAUUCCAGAACCUUUCUCCCAGUUUCACUCCGAUUCUGAAGAAUUCCCAGUGAUUGCUUUUCCAGCCAAACCCUAACAAUGAGAUUCUUUCAAGGUUAGCAGCACAAUUUGGGCAAAAAAGGAAAUUAUCAGGGAGGUUUAAUUAAGGAGGAAUAUCAGCAGGUCACAUCUUGUUUCUGGUGGAGUUUGGAGGAAGCAGGAUUAAUAUUUAAAUCAAACAAACCUAUCUGUUAAACGAGACCGUUAAAUUACAGAUAACGGGGGAAGAGUCCAAAUUUUCCCAAAUGUUUUCAGUUUUUUUUCCUAACGACCGUCGUUAUAUUUUGAUGCGGUUAAUAAUACAGCAGAGGUUAAAUGAAACAUGAAAAAGGGCCGUGCAUUAAAAUUGAGAUAACUCUUCCUCCAGUGAAGUGGAACCCAGCAGAUGUAGCUGCACACUGUAAUUGCUGCCUGUUUCCUGUCACUCUGAUUAAGUUGCAUUGUCCCUGCUCCAAGUGUAGGAAUCAGUGGCUUCCCAUAGGGCACAGCAUGGGACAGCUGGAUCCAGCAGGAAAAUCACUCCGUGCUUGUCCUGGUGAUGGUAUUGACACACAAUACCUAUUGAUUACUCCUAAAAUCAAUAGGCUGGGAGUGGGAGAGGCACUCCACUCAAGGGCUGGGAUUUUGGGAACGCUUCCAUUCCCCAUUAUUCGCCAAAUAAACCCAAGGCCUGGCUGCUGUGUUAGUUCUGCUUCUCAGGACUUCCAGCAUUGCUGUUUUCCUCAUUCCAAACCCUGAAAUCCCAAAAUUAUGGGAUGGGGAAGAAUUCCAAGCCACUUCCAUAGAGCAGGAUGCUCACAGCCCUUUCCUUUUGCAGGUCUGAAUCGUGGUGUGGAGGAGUGCUCAGAGCUUCAGGGCAGCGUGGGCUGAUGCCAGAAGGAUCUGGAGAAAUUCCAAACUCAGGGAUACUUCCCUUGCUGACAGAGGAAUUGGAAUAUUUUGCAUCCUGAGUCAUCCAAGGAGCAUCAGUUUGGCAGCUCGACACAAAAACAGCCAAAUCCUCGGGGGAAACGUGCAGCGUGCACCUGAAGCCAAAAGCUCCAUGAAAUAUCAAAAAAUAUCCUGGAAUUGUGCUGGAAACGCUCUCCAAAAUUGGGGCAGGAGCGAGGGAGGAGGCUCCAACAGAGGAAGGAAACAGCUGGAGAUGACACAAACACGUCGAUAUUCCAGAUUUAGCUGGUUUGUCUGGAAAACACGUGUUGGAUUUCAAGGCUGUGUGUGUCCAAGGGGCCAGGAAGAGCAGGAGUGAUCCAUGCACUCAAAGGCAGGGAAAUCUUGCGCCGAACGCAAACGAGACUCGGAGAUUUAACGAGUUUCCUGUGGGGGAAAAUCCGGAGACACCAAUGGAACAAUGGAUGUACAUUUCUCCUCCCAGUGGAAAUUCGAAUUGCUGAGCUGCUGCCAGCUUUGAGAAGAUUGGAGCUCCAGGGUCUCCUUCUGGGACACAGCCAAGUGUCUGUGGGAUUUUGAGGUUGUAAAAGUCUCUGUGUGUCAGCCCUGUUGUCAAAGAAGAAAUCAUAAUUAAUCUGUGCUGGUUCAAGGAGCUCAACUUCUAAACUCCACGGCCUGGGAGGAAAUUCCUUUUUCAGCCUCAUUUUUUGGAUUAUUUAACUCAUAAAAACUCCAUCUAAACUCGAUUUUGGAAGAAUAAAAUCCCCCUGGAAUAUUAAUUAAUUGAUUAAUUAAAGAGCCAUUGUGAACUGGAGUUUGCAGAACAGCCCAAACUCACAACAAGAGGAAUAUUUGGAAUAUUUCCCUGGAUUUGCCACAGGUCUGCGCUUCCCCACCCGAGGAAAUCCCUCAGUGGGUUUCACAUUUCGGCACCUGCUGGAAAAAAAGAAAAAAAGGAAAAAAAAUACUCCAAAAAAGAAGAAAACACAACUUGGAUUUAUUUUCAUGCAGCUGAAUGGAAGGAGAAAUUUUGGGAAUACGACAGCUUCAGGAAUCAAAAGUGUCCUCGUGCCUCGUGUCCUGUCCUCAGCGUGGCAAAAAAUUCCUCAUCUGGGAGCAUUUAUGGACCAGUCCUUAAAAUGACACAGGUUGGCACAAAAUUGGCAUCUGGAAUUAAUUGGCUGUUUGCCCACGGUGUGGAGCUCAGCAGGAGCUGAAGGUGGAAGAUGUGGUGCUGCAGGGGCGUCUUCACUCCAGAAAUCCACACCAGGAUGGAGAAUUCCUCCCUAAAAUGGACAAUUCCACCCUAAAAUGGACAAUUCCACCCUAAAAUGGACAAUUCCUCCCUA